ACCUGCUUUAGUUCCACAUAAAUUGCAAGGAAAUCAAAACUUACUCGCAGGUUUCAUAUUUUUGUUACAUAACCUUUUAGUUUUAAGGAAAAAUGCAUGCACCUCCUGCGUACCAAGAGAUAAGUUACGUGGAUCAUGUUCGCAGACGCCACGAAGAAAAAGGGUGCCUUUAUGCUUGCUUGUUCGCUCUGUGUUGCUGCUUCUGCUGCUAUGAGACCUGUGAGUGCUGUUUGGAUGUAGUGUGUUGCUGCUGCCCUUAGAUAAUAUCAUCAUAUAAUAUAAUAUUAUAUAUAUAUAUUAUAUUAUAUAUAUAUAUAUAUAUAUAUGCUUUCUUCUAUAUAUCUAUAUAUAUCUAAAGUAAUAAUAAUUACAAAUGAAGAUGCACAUGAACUUUUUGAGUAUGUUACUUUUGACUUAUGGUUGUGUUUGUAAAUUUACUUUAUGAUCAACGGGUACCCUUAACCUUUUUCA
Cajanus cajan (pigeon pea) is the source of this 471-nucleotide long non-coding RNA. RefSeq lists it as uncharacterized. NCBI's taxonomy places the organism in Eukaryota, Viridiplantae, Streptophyta, Magnoliopsida, Fabales, Fabaceae. The record is from RefSeq and is a predicted model, not a curated record.